This 253-nucleotide ribosomal RNA is filed under the name uncultured bacterium. RNAcentral's name for it is "partial 16S ribosomal RNA". It matches the Rfam family "Bacterial small subunit ribosomal RNA", at positions 524 to 776 of the family's 1533-position model. The record is from RNAcentral.
UACGAGAGGCCCAAACGUUAUUCGGAAUUACUGGGCUUAAAGAGUUCGUAGGCGGCAUUACAAGUAGGGUGUGAAAGCCCUCGGCUCAACCGAGGAAUUGCGCUCUAAACUGUCGUGCUAGAGGAACCUAGAGGUGAGCAGAACAGAUGGUGGAGCGGUGAAAUGCGUUGAUAUCAUCUGGAAUACCGGAGGCGAAGGCGGCUCACUGGGGGUUUUCUGACGCUGAGGAACGAAAGCCAGGGGAGCGAACGGG